UGAUAACAAACUCCAAAUGAACCCGUAGAAAGUAGGUUGCAGCAUUUUAUCCCUGCAGUCCUUGCUGUGCCUCAUCCAAUAACACGCCUUCCACUUCCUUAAGAGAGUUUUAUCAUCAUGGGCAUCUUUAUACAAACAGC
Long non-coding RNA from Mauremys reevesii (Reeves's turtle), 140 nucleotides. RefSeq lists it as uncharacterized. NCBI's taxonomy places the organism in Eukaryota, Metazoa, Chordata, Testudines, Geoemydidae. The transcript has 3 exons. The record is from RefSeq and is a predicted model, not a curated record.